UUAAGCGACUAAGCGUACACGGUGGAUGCCCUGGCAGUCAGAGGCGAUGAAGGGCGUGCUAAUCUGCGAUAAGCGCCGGUAAGGUGAUAUGAACCGUUAUAACCGGCGAUACCCGAAUGGGGAAACCCAGUGUGAUUCGUCACACUAUCAUUAACUGAAUCCAUAGGUUAAUGAGGCGAACCGGGGGAACUGAAACAUCUAAGUACCCCGAGGAAAAGAAAUCAACCGAGAUUCCCCCAGUAGCGGCGAGCGAACGGGGAGGAGCCCAGAGCCUGAAUCAGCAUGUGUGUUAGUGGAAGCGUCUGGAAAGGCGCGCGAUACAGGGUGACAGCCCCGUACACAAAAGCGCAUGUGCUGUGAGCUCGAUGAGUAGGGCGGGACACGUGGUAUCCUGUCUGAAUAUGGGGGGACCAUCCUCCAAGGCUAAAUACUCCUGACUGACCGAUAGUGAACCAGUACCGUGAGGGAAAGGCGAAAAGAACCCCGGCGAGGGGAGUGAAAAAGAACCUGAAACCGUGUACGUACAAGCAGUGGGAGCACAGGUUUACCUGUGUGACUGCGUACCUUUUGUAUAAUGGGUCAGCGACUUAUAUUCUGUAGCAAGGUUAACCGUAUAGGGGAGCCGCAGGGAAACCGAGUCUUAACCGGGCGUUAAGUUGCAGGGUAUAGACCCGAAACCCGGUGAUCUAGCCAUGGGCAGGUUGAAGGUUGGGUAACACUAACUGGAGGACCGAACCGACUAAUGUUGAAAAAUUAGCGGAUGACCUGUGGCUGGGGGUGAAAGGCCAAUCAAACCGGGAGAUAGCUGGUUCUCCCCGAAAGCUAUUUAGGUAGCGCCUCGUGAAUUCAUCUCCGGGGGUAGAGCACUGUUUCGGCUAGGGGGCCAUCCCGGCUUACCAACCCGAUGCAAACUGCGAAUACCGGAGAAUGUUAUCACGGGAGACACACGGCGGGUGCUAACGUCCGUCGUGAAGAGGGAAACAACCCAGACCGCCAGCUAAGGUCCCAAAGUCAUGGUUAAGUGGGAAACGAUGUGGGAAGGCCCAGACAGCCAGGAUGUUGGCUUAGAAGCAGCCAUCAUUUAAAGAAAGCGUAAUAGCUCACUGGUCGAGUCGGCCUGCGCGGAAGAUGUAACGGGGCUAAACCAUGCACCGAAGCUGCGGCAGCGACGCUGAUGCGUUGUUGGGUAGGGGAGCGUUCUGUAAGCCUGUGAAGGUGGCCUGUGAGGGUUGCUGGAGGUAUCAGAAGUGCGAAUGCUGACAUAAGUAACGAUAAAGCGGGUGAAAAGCCCGCUCGCCGGAAGACCAAGGGUUCCUGUCCAACGUUAAUCGGGGCAGGGUGAGUCGACCCCUAAGGCGAGGCCGAAAGGCGUAGUCGAUGGGAAACGGGUUAAUAUUCCCGUACUUGGUGUUACUGCGAAGGGGGGACGGAGAAGGCUAUGUUGGCCGGGCGACGGUUGUCCCGGUUUAAGCGUGUAGGUGUGUGUUCCAGGUAAAUCCGGUUCACUUUAACACUGAGGCGUGACGACGAGGCACUACGGUGCUGAAGCAACAAAUGCCCUGCUUCCAGGAAAAGCCUCUAAGCAUCAGGUAACAUCAAAUCGUACCCCAAACCGACACAGGUGGUCAGGUAGAGAAUACCAAGGCGCUUGAGAGAACUCGGGUGAAGGAACUAGGCAAAAUGGUGCCGUAACUUCGGGAGAAGGCACGCUGACACGUAGGUGAAGUGAUUUACUCAUGGAGCUGAAGUCAGUCGAAGAUACCAGCUGGCUGCAACUGUUUAUUAAAAACACAGCACUGUGCAAACACGAAAGUGGACGUAUACGGUGUGACGCCUGCCCGGUGCCGGAAGGUUAAUUGAUGGGGUCAGCGCAAGCGAAGCUCCUGAUCGAAGCCCCGGUAAACGGCGGCCGUAACUAUAACGGUCCUAAGGUAGCGAAAUUCCUUGUCGGGUAAGUUCCGACCUGCACGAAUGGCGUAAUGAUGGCCAGGCUGUCUCCACCCGAGACUCAGUGAAAUUGAACUCGCUGUGAAGAUGCAGUGUACCCGCGGCAAGACGGAAAGACCCCGUGAACCUUUACUAUAGCUUGACACUGAACAUUGAGCCUUGAUGUGUAGGAUAGGUGGGAGGCUUUGAAGUGUGGACGCCAGUCUGCAUGGAGCCGACCUUGAAAUACCACCCUUUAAUGUUUGAUGUUCUAACGUGGACCCGUUACCCGGGUUGCGGACAGUGUCUGGUGGGUAGUUUGACUGGGGCGGUCUCCUCCUAAAGAGUAACGGAGGAGCACGAAGGUUGGCUAAUCCUGGUCGGACAUCAGGAGGUUAGUGCAAUGGCAUAAGCCAGCUUGACUGCGAGCGUGACGGCGCGAGCAGGUGCGAAAGCAGGUCAUAGUGAUCCGGUGGUUCUGAAUGGAAGGGCCAUCGCUCAACGGAUAAAAGGUACUCCGGGGAUAACAGGCUGAUACCGCCCAAGAGUUCAUAUCGACGGCGGUGUUUGGCACCUCGAUGUCGGCUCAUCACAUCCUGGGGCUGAAGUAGGUCCCAAGGGUAUGGCUGUUCGCCAUUUAAAGUGGUACGCGAGCUGGGUUUAGAACGUCGUGAGACAGUUCGGUCCCUAUCUGCCGUGGGCGCUGGAGAACUGAGGGGGGCUGCUCCUAGUACGAGAGGACCGGAGUGGACGCAUCACUGGUGUUCGGGUUGUCAUGCCAAUGGCACUGCCCGGUAGCUAAAUGCGGAAGAGAUAAGUGCUGAAAGCAUCUAAGCACGAAACUUGCCCCGAGAUGAGUUCUCCCUGAGACUUAGAGUCUCCUGAAGGAACGUUGAAGACGACGACGUUGAUAGGCCGGGUGUGUAAGCGCAGCGAUGCGUUGAGCUAACCGGUACUAAUGAACCGUGAGGCUUAACCU
This 2905-nucleotide ribosomal RNA is filed under the name Salmonella enterica. RNAcentral's name for it is "23S ribosomal RNA". It matches the Rfam family "Bacterial large subunit ribosomal RNA". The record is from RNAcentral. Lineage: Bacteria; Pseudomonadati; Pseudomonadota; Gammaproteobacteria; Enterobacterales; Enterobacteriaceae.